Molecule: ribosomal RNA, 676 nt
Filed under: Escherichia coli
Lineage: Bacteria; Pseudomonadati; Pseudomonadota; Gammaproteobacteria; Enterobacterales; Enterobacteriaceae
Description: bacterial SSU rRNA
Rfam family: Bacterial small subunit ribosomal RNA
Source: RNAcentral
UCGAGCGGUAGCACGGGAAACUUGCUUCUCGGUGACGAGUGGCGGACGGGUGAGUAAUGUAUGGGGAACUGCCCGAUAGAGGGGGAUAACUACUGGAAACGGUGGCUAAUACCGCAUAAUCUCUCAGGAGCAAAGCGGGGGAACUUCGGUCCUCUCGCUAUCGGAUGAACCCAUAUGGGAUUAGCUAGUAGGUGGGGUAAUGGCUCACCUAGGCGACGAUCCCUAGCUGGUUUGAGAGGAGGAUCAGCCACACUGGGACUGAGACACGGCCCAGACUCCUACGGGAGGCAGCAGUGGGGAAUAUUGCACAAUGGGGGCAACCCUGAUGCAGCCAUCCCGCGUGUAUGAAGAAGGCCUUCGGGUUGUAAAGUACUUUCAGCAGGGAGGAAGGGGUGGUUGCUCAAUAGCGUCAACAAUUGACGGUUCACCGGCAGCAAGAAGCAGCCGGCUAACUCCGUGGCCAGCAGCCGCGGUAAUACGAACGGGUGCAAGACGUUUAAUCGGAAUUAUCUGAAGGCGUAAACUGGCGGCGCGCAGAUGCGGUUCGGGAAGGCAGAUGUGAAAUCCCCGGGCUCAACCUGGGAAAUGCAUUUUAGACUGGCCAGCUAGAGUCUUGUAGAGGGGGGUAGAAUUCCACGUGUAGCGGUGAAAUGCGUAGAGAUGUGGAGGAAUACCG